UCAGCACGAGCUGCCAGGUUUCCUUUGCCCCUUCUGCACAACAGAGAGGGACAUUUCUUUUUCUUCUUUGGAGGUGUGUGCAUUUCAAUAGUACACCAUCAUUUGUUUGGGUUCUUUUUCUUUUCUUCAGUUAAUUCUUUUUUAGGGUGAGAAGGUCAAAUUCUUAAUGACAAACUAUACAGAAGGAGUUGUGUGAGCUGGUGGAUACAACAGCAGCUAAGAGCUGUCAGCCAGCCAUAAAAACUGACAUGUGAUACUUCGUACUUUAAGAGCAAUUUACAUCUUCUAAGGACCAUACUAUAUAAACACGAAUUAAUCUCUAAUUAACUUAUCUAUAUGUAUUAGCCAAUUAAUCUCUAAUUAGUUUAUUUGCAGAUUCUUUCACAUUGGGAACUAAUUUAGGUAAGGCGUAAACCUCCUGGGACCAGUUCUGAUCUCUCAAAGAGGUGUAAGUCAGGAGGAUGUAUAAAUCCAUUCUAAUGCAGUCAUAGGGAUACAGCAGUGAAGAACUGCUCCAAGGAAUGUAUAAAUACGGCUCUUUGUGAGUUCAGAGAGAGAUGCUAUGCAGUGGUGAGAAACGACAUCAAAAUGCUCAGCAUUAAUUAGACAAUGUUGAUGGGGUUUGAUUACAGAAUUUGGUUAUUUUUAAAAUUUAUUGCUUCAUAGGGUGGCAUAUUACUAGAGGAUUAAAAGUAUUAAAAGGAGUGUACAAUAGUGACUACCAAGCCUGAGCUGGCAAACUUAGUGCUACUGCACCUGUUAUGUGUAGAGCUCAGUGAUGGGAGGAGAGUGGGGAAGGAAAAAACAUCAUGGCUGAAAAUACCCUUCAGAGUGAUACUUCAAUGCACCUUUGGCCUAAUGGUCCCAGGUCUUAAGCUCAGCUGUGUUUUAAAAUGAUAGAAAUAAAAUCAUGUCUGGUUUUCAGGGCUGGCAAAGGCGCUGUGUGUUUUGCAGUUACCUGGUCUCUAGACUGCUGUGUGGGUAGAUAGGAGGGGAGCAGCUAAUUUCUCCAGCAUUUGAAGAGUUGUAACUCAUUUGGCUGGGUCCAUGGUGCCCACUUCCAAUUUUCUUUGCUGUGUACAGGGUAGUGUCACUAUUCACAGCUCACCACAGUGGUGGCACUGCAAGGACAGCCUGGCUGUGCCCUGGAUAUGUCCCCUUUGGAGCAGGCAGGAGCCAGUGUGCAAGCAGAAGGGAGCAAAGGUGCUGCAGCUCUAGCUCCUGAGGAUUCCUUGCUUUGUGUCUUUGGGUCACAAAAUACAAAUGCAAAGUCUGAGCUUGGGCAGAAUUGACUCCUAAGAACUGUGGCUACAACAGUAUAAAUUCAGAACGCUCCCUGGGGAAGCUGUGACCUCUACACAUGCCCACAUCUACCAGCUCAAAGGGAGACAUGAGGAGACUUUUUUUACCUCUGCUACCCUCCUUGGGGGAAAAAGAAAUAGAGAAGAAGAAUGUGGAGCUGGUCUGUGUGGCAUCUUCCUCUCCCCUAUCCUUCUUGCUGAGGAAGGAGGACCCAGAUUGCCAAGCUCUGCCCUCUAGCAAGGCCCAAAGCUGUGGGCUCAGUGUGGGGAGGCAAAAAACAGCUUCAGCAACUGGAUCUGAGGCAACGUGGCCAUCCUUUCUCUUCAGAAGGUAGAAUCAAAGGAUAGCUCCACCUUCUAACAAUCCUCCAGGCAGCAGCCAAGUUAGCUUGACAUCUGGAACUUGUUUCUAGGGGUUAUUUCCAGUUGCAGCUGUUUUGGAGGCAGGAUCUGGGUUUUCAGGAGAAAGAGCAGAACACAGUUCACAGAAUUCCAUGCACCAGAGCUAUGGUACUUCGUUGAACUGGAUUUCAAGGUCAAAGGCUUUGCUACCAGGACAUCACAAAUAUGCUAAUUUCAUGUACAAGAUGGAUGAAAUAUCCUCUGGAGAGGAGCCACACUAUGACAAAGGAAUUGCAGCAGGUGUCUUUCACAGAGGGAACAUAAUUGUGAAGCUUGCUGGCAUCCUGCUCGCUCAGUCUCUCCAACACUGGCAGCUGGGUGAGGGGCUGCUGUUAGAAGAGGAAAGGCUUUAGCCCAGCUGUGGCUGGGUGUGUCCACAGCAAAGGAAGCAGCAAUAAAGCAUACAGGACUCUGGUCUGGGGUCCCUGUCCCAUGUCUGUCACCUUGUGCUGUCCCCUAUUCU
Molecule: long non-coding RNA, 2166 nt
Organism: Vidua macroura (Pin-tailed whydah)
Lineage: Eukaryota; Metazoa; Chordata; Aves; Passeriformes; Viduidae
Exons: 8
Source: RefSeq, a predicted model, not a curated record